Small nucleolar RNA from Panthera pardus (leopard), 124 nucleotides. NCBI's taxonomy places the organism in Eukaryota, Metazoa, Chordata, Mammalia, Carnivora, Felidae. The record is from Ensembl.
AGAUCACUGCAAAGGGGGGUCAUGGGGCUGUGAAACCAGGAGCUCUACCACUGAUCAAAGAAUGAAGUUGUCCACAGGACGUCACAGUCAUUCGACAGUGCCAUCUUUCUGAGGAGACGUGAUG